GGUGUGCUAUCUUAGCCCUUAUUUGGUCCGUAUGAAGCCUUCUGAUAUACUGAAAAAAAUGGAAGUAGUGAAAGCAGACCAGACAGUGGAUUCCGUAGUGUCAGACUCCUAUACACGCCUUGAUCAAGAGGUAUAUUACCUGACCUAUAAUCUUUUGCUGCUGGCUGGAGAAGCUGUGCACUUCCAAGUGUUUCCAUCUAGUCAGA
Molecule: long non-coding RNA, 206 nt
Organism: Protopterus annectens (West African lungfish)
Lineage: Eukaryota; Metazoa; Chordata; Ceratodontiformes; Protopteridae
Exons: 2
Source: RefSeq, a predicted model, not a curated record